UGUCUAUAUAUCGUUUUAUUCUGAGAGAAAUAAUGAAAUGUUACGUGAGUGACAUUUAUACUCUAUUAGAAAAUUUCUUCAACUCACGUGAGUACCUUGAUAUUGAGAUCUCAGCGUGAAAUAUAUUUUGCGUGUGCGCAUAUAUUUGGCUUAUACUUGUAAGUAACGAUUCUCAUUUAUUUUAUGCUUCUCUAACUCGUAAUUUUGAUUGACGUCUUUUUAAUAACUACAUGCGAUCACGAAGAGUUCAUGUACUUA
Long non-coding RNA from Leptopilina boulardi, 258 nucleotides. RefSeq lists it as uncharacterized. The record is from RefSeq and is a predicted model, not a curated record. Lineage: Eukaryota; Metazoa; Arthropoda; Insecta; Hymenoptera; Figitidae. The transcript has 3 exons.